GAUCAUGGCUCAGGAUGAACGCUGGCGGCGUGCCUAACACAUGCAAGUCGAACGGGAUGCGUAUCGGAAAGCUUCGGCCGGAAGAUACGUUAUCUAGUGGCGGACGGGUGAGUAACACGUGGGUAACCUGCCUUAUGGAGGGGGAUAACAGAGAGAAAUCACUGCUAAUACCGCAUAAGCACACAGUACCGCAUGGUACAGGGUGAAAAGAUUUAUCACCAUAAGAUGGACCCGCGU
This 237-nucleotide ribosomal RNA is filed under the name uncultured bacterium. RNAcentral's name for it is "partial 16S ribosomal RNA". It matches the Rfam family "Bacterial small subunit ribosomal RNA", at positions 15 to 236 of the family's 1533-position model. The record is from RNAcentral.